RNAcentral lists this ribosomal RNA (352 nucleotides) under uncultured bacterium. RNAcentral's name for it is "bacterial SSU rRNA". It matches the Rfam family "Bacterial small subunit ribosomal RNA", at positions 129 to 507 of the family's 1533-position model. The record is from RNAcentral.
CCCCAAAGUGAGGAAUAAGCCACCGAAAGGUGGUCUAAUACUUCAUAAUAUCCAUCUCGUAUGGAUUAAAGCUUUAUGCGCUUUGGGAGGGGCCUGCGUAACAUUAGCUUGUUGGUGAGGUUAAAAGCUCACCAAGACUUCGAUGUUUAACUGGUUUGAGAGGAUGACCAGUCACACUGGGACUGAGAUACGGCCCAGACUCCUACGGGAGGCAGCAGUAAGGAAUCUUCCACAAUGGGGCAACCCUGAUGGAGCAAUACCGCGUGCAGGAUGAAGCGUUUCGGCGUGUAAACUGCUUUUAUCACCGAAGAUUAUGACUGUAGGUGAAGAAUAAGGACCGGCUAACUACGUG